Molecule: long non-coding RNA, 908 nt
Filed under: Phasianus colchicus (ring-necked pheasant)
Lineage: Eukaryota; Metazoa; Chordata; Aves; Galliformes; Phasianidae
Description: lncRNA (ENSPCLG00000002861.1)
Source: RNAcentral
GGACAGCUGGCUUGAAGGAUAGUAAUUUCUGUCCCUAAAUGGAGAUCAUAGAAUCAUAAAGGUUGGAUGAGAUCACUAAGAUCAUCUAGUCUAACCACUGAUCCACCCUCACCAUGCCCACCAGUCCCUCAGUGCUGCAUCUCCACAGUUCUUGAAUACCUCCAAGGACGCUUUCAUUCUUUCUAAAUUCUGCUUGCACAGGCAGAAAAACAUACAAAAAUCCACAAUUUCAGAGUAUCAUCCUGCAGAAUGGAGCCCUCUGCCUCCCUCUCCCUUCUGUGCUGCAGUCCGUGACUUGAUCCCCCAAAGGCAAUGAGCUUCAUUCAUCAUGCUCUGUCCAGCACCAUAAAAUACAUCUUGCCUGCUCCUCCUGGUCCGUGUGGGCCAGGCAGGGAGACACAGGAUACUUCAGACUUCAGCUCUGGACUGUUGGUUAUGUGAUCCUUUUCUGUACAGAAAUAUUUGAAAAAGCUGUGGCACAACGGUGUCUAAUUCUGUCUCCGGCAAGAAUGGAAAUUGGAGGAAGGAAGUUUCCAAACACGUUCAUUCCUCUGGGCAGUGAUUACAUCUCCUUUGAUGUGGGUCACCGUGGAAGGAUGAAGGCUGCAUGAUGUCACUAGCUUCCCUUCACCCCUCUGAUGGACCAGUGAGGUGCUGCCAAUGUCAACACAGAGUGGUGCUGCUGGCUGACUGAGAGAAACACGGUGUUGAGCCCUUCCAUGGCACCACCAGGGUUUUGUCAGCCUGCCUCAGACAGCACUGCAGCAUGCCCUGCAGGGAGGCAGUACAGAUGACUGUCUUGUACGUCCAUAGAAUCAUAGAAUUGUCCAGGUUGGAAAAGACCUUAAAGAUCAUCAAGUCCAACUACAACCUAACCAUACUAUCCACAGCUCCAUAUGGAGUUGUGC